This is a non-coding RNA of Equus caballus (horse), 2446 nucleotides long. Lineage: Eukaryota; Metazoa; Chordata; Mammalia; Perissodactyla; Equidae. The record is from RefSeq and is a predicted model, not a curated record.
UAAAUAACUUUUAAUGUAUUUUUAAUGCCUUUGCAAGGAAAUUGAGGUAAUUUUAUAUUUUCAGUUUUAGAAUUUUCUCCCACGGAUCUCCGAGCUGGAUCGUAUAGUGUAUAGUUUUCAUGUACAAGUCUUCAUGUCCUUGAAUACUCUUUGCAAACAUUAGUUUUUACUGAUUAUGUAAUAUUCUUUCAUUCAGAUAAAACCUAAUUAAUUUACCUAUCCCCCUUUUGCUGGACAUUUUGGUCUUUUCUCAUUUUUUGCUGUGAUGCAUUUUGCUGGUAUGAACAGAACUUUGCAAAACCCUUCAUAUGCAAUAUGUCCUUUAAUCUUCCCUAUAAACCUGAGGGGGGGGCGCUAUAGAGAUUCUCUUUUUACAGGUUAGGAAACUGAGGGUCUGAGAGGAGUUCAGCGGUUUGUCAAAGGUCACUGUCUUAGUUCAGGUUCCCCAGAAACACGUCCUGAGUUAAGGACCCAAGUACAAGGGAUUUACUUAAGAAGAGAUCUCAAGGAAAAAGUAGGGAAAUGGGAAAUGAGACGAGGAAGGUGGGCAGCCAAUGUAAUGUGCGUUUUCAAGCAAGUUGCUAGGGUGGAUAACCAGAGCUUAAUCCUGCUGGGGAAACCCAGGAGCCAGUGUAGACUCAUGUCUCAGAAUCAUCUGACACGAGGCGUGAGGGAGCUGGGUAUUUUUCACCAACUCCAAUCCAUCUUGGCUGAGGCUGCUCCCAAGGAGCCCGAAUUCUCUGUCGCUUCUAGACUGUUGUGGGGGAGGGGGCAAGGCAGGCUCUGGCGGUUACAUAAAUGCAGCUGCUGGCAGCCAGAAGGUGGGCAGGGUUCCCUGCAGUGGUGAGGGCAUGGGGAUAAGGUUGGCACUGCCCAGGGCCGCUGAGGUCAGUCACACAGCUACAGACUGUCAGAACCAGGAUUUGAAUGCAGAUGUGCCUAACUCCGGAGCCCGUACCUUUAAUGACCCGGCUUUGCAAAGAAAUGAAACCUCCCUGUGACCUUGGGCAGUCACCUCAUCUCUCUGAGCUCCAGGAUGGGGAUGCUGCUAUCUGCCAUAACUGACUCAGAGCAGUGUCAUGAGAUGACAGCAUGGACACGUCAGCACUCUGAUCAUCAGCUAGGCCAUCAUUGGUCCAGCAUUACUGACCAUUCCCAUCAGUCAGGGAGGAAUCUCAUCAGGCAGCCAGUCAGUGCUUUCCUGAUGAUAGCUGAUUAAAAGAAAUUAAUAGGAGAUGGGCCGGUUCCCUGAGUUUAUUAGAGGAAUAGUUUUCUAGAUUAAUUGCAUAGCAUGCAAUGUACACAUGGCUCAUUGAAAUAAAGUCCUUGAGGAACUUUGGAACAUUCCAUUUUUCUGGCAAGAGGGAGACAAAUACACAAGUGCUCAUCCCUAUGCACUGACAGUCUCCAGGUCUGGAUUCUCCCAAGAGGGAGUUUAAUUGUUCCAUAAGCUUCAAACUCAAGGGCUUCUCAAUGCUAAGCUCCUGACGAGCUACAUUAAAGGAAAAAUGACAAUGAUGCCAGUUGACAUAUUUAUUGAAUAUGGGGAUCCCGAAGAAGUCGAUGCAGGCUGCUCAUGCCAAUGAGGUUACAGAUGGGAAGUCAGUGUUGCUGCAGCCCUCCUACCUGACUGAAGUUCACACUCAAGGUAAGGUCAAGACAAGCUGGAGAUCUGAACCCUGGUCUGGCUGACUUCAAAAUGCAUGUUUAUUCUUUAAGAUCACCUAUGUGUUCUCUCCUGACAAAGAUGUUUUACAGCUUUACCGACCACUAGAAAGCAAGUGGGAGUUUGUGCACAGAAUCAUUCCUAUGUGGCAGCUACCAAUACCAGGAUUGAUUUCUACGCCCUGCCCCCACCCUAGUGCAGGUCUGUAUAAGCAUUUUUCUAGACUUUUUUUGGUAGUACAGAACAUAAGUUAAUAUUUCAAAGGUUUGGGUUUGUAAAAUUAUUGUGUUUACUCCUAGGGACUAAAGCUGUAACUCAAGUAACUUUCACCAGGUGAAUGAUGAUGUCGACAUCUCCAACAUCUUCUCCUCCAAAUGCCAGGAGACUUACAUAUGUUCUUAAUCCUCCCCACGACCCUGAGUGGAGGGUACUACAAUCCCCAUUUUGUGGCUGAGGAGUUGGAGACAGAAGGAGUGACAUGCCCAGAGCUACAUCACUAGUCCAUUUAUUGGGAUGUCACAAAUACAGCGGACCAGUGUGACCUUCCAUGGACUGUCCAAACAAUCAAGGCCCCUCCAGACUGUGUUGUAACAGAGAACGGAAGCGUUAAUGCAGCUCUGAGGCAAGACUGAAUAUGUACUGCUGUCCUAAGGGAAUGCACUGCCUUCUGAUUCUUUUCUAUAAUCGAGAUUAAAAGAAUGCAUUUACCAGGUCAGUAGCCCAAACCCAACGCCAGAGGCUGUUUUGAUGUGUUCUAAUAAACAUCGUGUAUAACCACAA